RNAcentral lists this unclassified non-coding RNA (354 nucleotides) under soil metagenome. RNAcentral describes it as "partial contains 5.8S ribosomal RNA, internal transcribed spacer 2, and large subunit ribosomal RNA". The stretch from base 1 to 120 matches the Rfam family "5.8S ribosomal RNA", at positions 35 to 154 of the family's 154-position model. The record is from RNAcentral.
GAUGAAGAACGUAGCGAAAUGCGAUAAGUAGUGUGAAUUGCAGAAUUCAGUGAAUCAUCGAAUCUUUGAACGCACAUUGCGCCUCCUGGUAUUCCGGGAGGCAUGCCUGUUCGAGCGUCAUUAAAAUCACUCAAGCUUAGGUUUACCUAUUGCUUGGUCUUGGAGAUGGAAGCCAAUUCAUUGGAAUCCUCUUCGAAAUCCAAUGGCGAAGACCCUUGCUCUCCCAAGUGUAGUAAUAACUUAUGUCACUGAAGGAAGCGAGAAAUCUGCCGCCGUAACCCCCAUAUUUUCUAUGAUUGACCUCGGAUCAGGUAGGGAUACCCGCUGAACUUAAGCAUAUCAAUAAGCGGAGGA